RNAcentral lists this ribosomal RNA (1491 nucleotides) under uncultured bacterium. RNAcentral's name for it is "bacterial SSU rRNA". It matches the Rfam family "Bacterial small subunit ribosomal RNA". The record is from RNAcentral.
GAGUUUGAUCCUGGCUCAGGAUGAACGCUAGCGGGAGGCUUAACACAUGCAAGUCGAGGGGUAACAGGGGUAGCAAUACCUGCUGACGACCGGCGCACGGGUGAGUAACGCGUAUGCAACCUGCCUUCUACCGGGGGAUAGCUUUCGGAAACGGAAAUUAAUACCCCAUAACACUGCACCCCGGCAUCGGGGAGCAAUUAAAGCUCCGGCGGUAGAAGAUGGGCAUGCGUGACAUUAGCUAGUUGGUGAGGUAACGGCUCACCAAGGCAACGAUGUUUAGGGGACCUGAGAGGGUGAUCCCCCACACUGGUACUGAGACACGGACCAGACUCCUACGGGAGGCAGCAGUGAGGAAUAUUGGUCAAUGGGCGCAAGCCUGAACCAGCCAUCCCGCGUGCAGGAAGACGGCGCUAUGCGUUGUAAACUGCUUUUCUGAAGGAAGAAUAGUUCCUACGUGUAGGGAUUUGACGGUACUUCAGGAAUAAGCAUCGGCUAACUCCGUGCCAGCAGCCGCGGUAAUACGGAGGAUGCAAGCGUUAUCCGGAUUCAUUGGGUUUAAAGGGUGCGUAGGCGGAACAUAUAAGUUCAGUGGUGAAAUUUUCCCGGGCUUAACCGGGAGGCUGCCAUUGAUACUGUAAGUCUUGAGUUCGGCUGGGGUAGGCGGAAUGUGUAAUGUAGCGGUGAAAUGCUUAGAUAUUACACAGAACACCGAUUGCGUAGGCAGCUUACUAGACCGAUACUGACGCUGAGGCACGAAAGCGUGGGGAGCGAACAGGAUUUAGAUACCCUGGUAGUCCACGCCGUAAACUAUGAUUACUCGUUGUUGGCGAUACACAGUCAGCGACCAAGCGAAAGCGAUAAGUAAUCCACCUGGGGAGUACGCUCGCAAGAGUGAAACUCAAAGGAAUUGACGGGGGCCCGCACAAGCGGUGGAACAUGUGGUUUAAUUCGAUGAUACGCGAGGAACCUUACCUGGGCUUAAAUGUAGAGUGCAUGAUCGGGAAACUGAUCUUUCCUUCGGGACUCUCUGCAAGGUGCUGCAUGGUUGUCGUCAGCUCGUGCCGUGAGGUGUCGGGUUAAGUCCCAUAACGAGCGCAACCCUUAUCAUUAGUUGCCAUCGGGUCAAGCCGGGGACUCUAAUGAAACUGCCACCGUAAGGUGAGAGGAAGGUGGGGAUGACGUCAAAUCAGCACGGCCCUUAUGUCCAGGGCUACACACGUGUUACAAUGGCCGGUACAGAGGGCAGCUACCUGGUGACAGGAUGCGAAUCUCAAAAGCCGGUCCAAGUUCGGAUCGAAGUCUGCAACUCGACUUCGUGAAGCUGGAAUCGCUAGUAAUCGCGCAUCAGCCAUGGCGCGGUGAAUACGUUCCCGGGCCUUGUACACACCGCCCGUCAAGCCAUGGAAGCUGGGGGUGCCUGAAGUUCGUAACCGCAAGGAGCGACCUAGGGUAAAACCGGUGACUGGGGCUAAGUCGUAACAAGGUAGCCGU